CAUCCUCCAAGGCUAAAUACUCCUGACUGACCGAUAGUGAACCAGUACCGUGAGGGAAAGGCGAAAAGAACCCCGGCGAGGGGAGUGAAAAAGAACCUGAAACCGUGUACGUACAAGCAGUGGGAGCACAGGUUUACCUGUGUGACUGCGUACCUUUUGUAUAAUGGGUCAGCGACUUAUAUUCUGUAGCAAGGUUAACCGUAUAGGGGAGCCGGAGGGAAACCGAGUCUUAAUUGGGCGUUAAGUUGCAGGGUAUAGACCCGAAACCCGGUGAUCUAGCCAUGGGCAGGUUGAAGGUUGGGUAACACUAACUGGAGGACCGAACCGACUAAUGUUGAAAAAUUAGCGGAUGACCUGUGGCU
RNAcentral lists this ribosomal RNA (362 nucleotides) under Salmonella enterica subsp. enterica serovar Infantis. RNAcentral's name for it is "bacterial LSU rRNA". It matches the Rfam family "Bacterial large subunit ribosomal RNA", at positions 454 to 816 of the family's 2925-position model. The record is from RNAcentral. Lineage: Bacteria; Pseudomonadati; Pseudomonadota; Gammaproteobacteria; Enterobacterales; Enterobacteriaceae. RNAcentral also lists the same sequence under 10 other names.